This 3216-nucleotide long non-coding RNA is filed under the name Podarcis lilfordi (Lilford's wall lizard). The record is from RNAcentral. Lineage: Eukaryota; Metazoa; Chordata; Lepidosauria; Squamata; Lacertidae.
GUAAAUUGUGUAUGGGAAGAGACCUUUGCUUGAAUUUUUAAAACAACAACAAUAAAAAUAAUAAAAAGAAGAUACCAAGAAGUAUUCUGUAGUUACCAUACCAAAUGAAUAUAAAUUCAAGAAAAUGAAUGGGCCUUCAAUAAAUCGCCUAUGCUAUCAUACAGAGUUUCUAUUAAAAAGGCUUCUUUUUCCACAGUGCAGUCUUUGAUUACAGUUGUAUGAAUUCUUGUUCUGGCUAUUUAUUGGAAUUGUUGGUUUGAUUAUGUAAAAUGCUGUCUUCUUGUUGCUUUUAUACCCUAUUCCUUCUUUAUAAAUAGAUAUUUUAUUGUUGCAAACUUCCAUGAGUUUAGUUCUUUUGUUUUAAAAACUUACACGUUUCUUUUUUUAUAAAGAAAAGAAUGGAUAUAAUCUUCUAUAAAUCAGAUUUGUUGCGUUCAGUGGGUCUUACUCCCAGUUAUCUGCGUACAGGAGGAGAAUUCUAGAUAUAUUUUCAAAUGCAAAAUAAACAGAACUCCAUUUCUUCAUUUCUGAUGCUUGAAAGAAAUAGUUUACAAAUAAGAGUAGAUCCAGUAAAAGUUUCAGAGUUGUAUCUAAUGCUGAACAAGGGGACUCCCCCUUCUUCUCCCUGCACGUCCCUAAAAUCUGCUUUGUGGAGUCCCCAGCUCCCUCAAGCAGAUUUUGAAAGUGUCUUUGAAAGUUAUGUUGUGGAGGCAGAAAUCUGUUGUGUGAGUGGAACAGCAGUGUUUGAUACAACCCUCAGUCUCAACUGCAUGUUUCAGGAGACUACUUCAUCGCAGAUGCCUGUGGUAUUCCUUCUAACAUAUCAAACAUAUUUUUUCAGCAUAUAUAAUAGCAAAGCAACUUAAGGCCAAACAUAUUUUCAUGUGAUAUGGCUAUCUCUUGUGUUUCAGGAACGACUGCCACUAAAGGUAUGUCCCUGGUAUUUCUGGAAUGUGUGAGGGGUCUUUGACAAGGAGAGUGGCUCUUCAGUUGAAUACUGUACCAGAUUCUUAGAAUUUAAAAAUACAUAAAUCUGAAAGCUCAUCUUGCUCAUUCUGGAGCACUUAGAGAGCCAAUUGAACUUUGUUAAGUGAGAAGUGUUGCUCAAAACAAAGGACUCUUGAGAAGUAUUACAGUUGUGUGGACAGACUUUUUGCAGUAUAUUUACCCUACCAAAGUUUAAAAUUGAAGUAGCUCAUUGUGCAGAGCACAUAUUUAUAAAUGGGUUAUAAAUGGGUUCACUAUCCCAGCCAGGGCUCCUUCUGUUGUACUUUUUUCCUCUGUGCUGUUGGGCUUAGGGCAUAUAUGAAUUGCAUAACAAUGAGUGGAGAUACACAUUAUUGAAUAGUUACAGUGGAGUGUUUAAAAGUCAAAGCACUCAGUGUGAGAAUGCAGUGGACUGUGUGGGAGAAUUGGAGGGAAAGUGUUGUGUGCCUCAAAAUAGCGGAGAUGUUACAGGACCCACCCACCUUGCCAUGCCCUUUACACUGAUACCCACCUAAGGUGUACAGCAAGGCUGGGGAAACUUUGGUUCUGUGAGGCAAAUUUGACAGGUGGGCUGCCAAAGCAGACUGUGGCUUUACCAACCAAUCAGCUGAUGAACAGUAGAGCCGAAGCCUGCUUUAACUUGCUAAUUCGCACUUUGAGGCAUCUCCCGCUGCCCCACAUCUGACAUCCUAUAUGUUGUCAGAUGUGGGGGCAGGUGGGCAUGGUUUGGAGGAGACAGCCUCAUGGACCACUUUUGAACCCUGGUGCCUCUACCUCUUUGCUGCAGGCGCCUUUGCAAGUCAUCCUUCACCAAGCCAUAGAAUACGCAUAUGAUAUCAAGCCCCAACAGAUCGAUGCAACGUAAACUACAACUGUGCCACAAUCCAAAUGGAGGAAAUAACCUGCAUGCAGAGCAGAUGCUUGAAGAAAGUGAACCAGGAUGUUGACUACAUGAUCACCUGGUUCACAUGUUAGAGUAAGGCCUAGUCUAAGCAAAUGAUGGUUUCCCAUGAACAGGCAGCCUGCUGCUGCAUUCUGCUCGUAUUGCACCCACCCCACUCCUGCAGUUCCCAAGCCAGGAAGAAAGAAACGAGAAUGCUAGCAUAGCUCGCGGUUGCUUUCUUCCCAAACCAACCAGGAGGAGAGCCUGAGUGUUUGGUACAACAAGGUUUGUUUAGACUGCGGCUUACCAUGACAUGCAAAACGGGCCGUAGUGAUGCCACGCUCAGAAUCAUAUGGCCAAAGUAUUAAGCAUAUCUGUGUGACGGCUCAUCAGUUCAGCUGAUUUCAUGGAGGAUAGGAGUGGGAGCAAUGGGCAUAAUAUAGCCACGUGUUCCAGAAAUGUGUGUAAGCGAACAGUAUAUUUGUGUAUGUGAGCUGGGCUCUAGCGUGCAAACUUAAUUCUUUGAGUUGGAUCCAGAACAAGGUGAGCAUGAGCCUGCUCAUACAGCCGGGCUUUUCCGUCUCCCCCUGCCCUGCACUACAGCUCCCCAUACCCCACAGAGCCACUCUUGAGGUUAAGGGGCCCUCUGGAAUGGUGUGUGAAGGGGCGCAGGGGGCUGCAAUGGGAUGGGAUGGGGUGGGGUGGGACUAGGCCACUAUUGCAGAAGUGGAAGUUCCUUUCCAUACAUGCACAAGUGAGUCAUCUCUGGAUCCAAGUUACUGAAAGGUAUUGUGUUUGAGAUGGCAUUGAGUGAUGUGAAGUGCCUUCCUCUAGCUUUGGGAUAGUUUGAUGGCGAAUGACCGUCAAAACACCAUAAGCUUGCGCAUGUGAAUGUAUGAUUUAAAAAGUACCAUAUAGAUUCUGGUAGAGAAUGCAGGAUUCUUUUUUAACACUUUGAUCAUGAAUGGUCUAUGCCUUAAUUGACAAAGGUGUCAUUGAUGUUUCUAAAAUGCAUUGUAAUAAAUAAGUUUUAACUCUGGUUAAUUUUGCCAUACUUUUUAAUUUUCAGUGUUGCUUGUAUUUAUAAAUCUUUUAACUGAGCACAUUAAAAAAGGUAAUUAAAUUGUCAUUCUAAUUUAUGCCAUUCCUGAAGUCAAUCACCUAAUUAAACUGAAAGAGCAGAGAAGUAGUUUCAUAAGUAUUUAUUAAAUAGCGCAACAUUAAUUAUGCAGAACGUUCAAAUGAAGUAAAAUAGGAAAGGAAUGAAACUGCCAUUACAAAAGGGCUUUCUGUCCCUGCCCUUCUUGGUUUAAUAAGCUGAGCCCUCCUUCUUAAUAACAUGACUU